UGGGGAAUCUUGCACAAUGGAGGAAACUCUGAUGCAGCGACGCCGCGUGAGUGAUGAAGCCCUUCGGGGUGUAAAGCUCUUUCGACGGGAACGAUAAUGACGGUACCCGAAGAAGAAGCUGCGGCUAACUACGUGCCAGCAGCCGCGGUAAUACGUAGGCAGCGAGCGUUGUUCGGAAUUACUGGGCGUAAAGAGUGUGUAGGCGGUGCUCUAAGUCUGUCGUGAAAUCUCCCGGCUUAACUGGGAGGGUGCGGCGGAUACUAUUGUGCUAGAGGGUGGGAGAGGAAAGCGGAAUUCCUGGUGUAGCGGUGAAAUGCGUAGAUAUCAGGAGGAACACCUGCGGUGUAGACAGCUUUCUGGACCACUUCUGACGCUGAGACACGAAAGCGUGGGUAGCAAACAGG
Molecule: ribosomal RNA, 404 nt
Filed under: uncultured bacterium
Lineage: Bacteria
Description: bacterial SSU rRNA
Rfam family: Bacterial small subunit ribosomal RNA
Source: RNAcentral